UACGAAGGGGGCUAGCGUUGUUCGGAAUCACUGGGCGUAAAGGGCGCGUAGGCGGCCGAUCAAGUCGGGGGUGAAAGCCUGUGGCUCAACCACAGAAUUGCCUUCGAUACUGUUUGGCUUGAGACCGGAAGAGGUUAGUGGAACUGCGAGUGUAGAGGUGAAAUUCGUAGAUAUUCGCAAGAACACCAGUGGCGAAGGCGGCUGACUGGUCCGGUUCUGACGCUGAGACGCGAAAGCGUGGGGAGCGAACAGG
This 253-nucleotide ribosomal RNA is filed under the name uncultured bacterium. RNAcentral's name for it is "partial 16S ribosomal RNA". It matches the Rfam family "Bacterial small subunit ribosomal RNA", at positions 524 to 776 of the family's 1533-position model. The record is from RNAcentral.